RNAcentral lists this small RNA (28 nucleotides) under Bombyx mori (domestic silkworm). Its description in RNAcentral is "ovarian small RNA-35161". Lineage: Eukaryota; Metazoa; Arthropoda; Insecta; Lepidoptera; Bombycidae. The record is from RNAcentral.
UGGUCUAUUAUUGGUGAAGAUUAGCAUG